UGCGGGCGGAUCUGGGCGGGCGCGGCGGCACUGGUCGCCCCUUCACUGGUUCAUUUCGACGUCCAUCAAGCACAAAGGGGCAGAACACGGAGCUUGGGACAAUUCUGAUUCGGCCUGAACUGGAGUACGCCACUUAUGACGCGCGCGGCCUCGAUUAUGUAAAGCGCAGUCACGCGGGGGCGCCACUAGGAGGCUCUGCUAUUCCCUGAGACACAGGAAACAAUAUUGGAACGAGGCCAAUUUAUAACCCUACAAUGGCCUCUAAGUGUCCAAGUGAAAGGAAGAGCCAAAUGUCUCUCGCUUUAAAUCAAAAGCUAGAAAUGAUUGAGCUCAGUGAGGAAGGCUUGCCAACAGCUGAGAUGGGCCGAAAGCUAGGCCUGUUGUGCCAGUUAGCCAAGUCGUGAAUGCAAAGGAAAAGUUGUUGAAGGAAAUUGAAAAGUGCUACUCCAGUGAGCACAUGAAUAAUAAGAAGGCAAAAUAGCCUUAUUGCGGAUAUGGAGAAAGUUUGAGUGGUCUGGAGAGGAGAUCAAACCCGCCGCGACAUUCCCUUAAGCCAGAGCCUAAUCCAGAUCAAGGCCCUGGCUCUCUUCAUUUCUAUGAAGGCUGAGAGAGGGGAGGAAGCUGCAGAAGGAAAGUCUGAAGCUGGUAAAGGUUGGUUUAUGAGGUUUAGGGAAAGACGCCAUCUCCAUAGCAUUGAAGUGCAAGGUGAGGCAGCAAGUGCUGAUGUAGAAGCUGCAGCAAGCCUUCCAGAAGAUCUAGCUAUGGUAACUGAUGAAGGUGGCUCCGCUGAACGACAGAUUUUCAACGUAGAUGAAACAGCCUCCUAUUGGAAGAAGAUGGCAUCUAGGACUUUCAUAGCUAGAGAGGAAAAGUCAAUGAUCAGCUUUGAAGCUUCAAAGGACAGGCGGACUCUCUUGUUAGGGGCUAAUGCAGCUGGUGACUUGAAGUUGAAGCCAAUGCUCAUUUUUGUUCCAAAAAUCCUUAAAAACUAUGCCAAAUCUACUCUGCCUGUGCUCUAUAAAUGGAAAAACAAAGCCUGGAUGAAAGCACGUAAGUUUACAAUGUGGUUUACUGAAUAUAGAUUUUUUAAUGUUUAUUUUUUAGAGAGAGAGAAAGCGAGCGAGUGACCACAAGUGGGGGAGGGGCAGAAAGAGAGGGAGACAGGGGAUCCGAAGUGGGCUCUGUGCUGACAGCAGUGAGCCCGAUGUAGGGCUCGAGCCCAUAAGAACCCACAAACUAGGAGAUCAGGACCUAAGCCAAAUUUGGACACUCAACUGACUGAGCCACCCAGCCACCCCUGUUUACUGAAUAUGUUAAGCCCACUGUUGAGACCUACUACUCAGAAAAAAGAUUCCUUUCAAAAUAUUACUGCUCAUUGACAAUGUACCUGGUCACCCAAGAGCUCUGAUGCAGAUAUACAAUGAGAUUCACGUUGUUUUGCUAAUACAUCAUCCGUGCUGAAGCCCAUGGAUCAAGGAGUAAUUUCAACUCUGAAGUGUUAUUAUUUAAGAAAUACAUUUCUCGAGGGGCGCCUGGGUGGCUCAGUUGGUUAGGCAUCCGACUUCAGCUCAGGUGAUGAUCUCACAGUUUGUGAGUUUGAGCCCUGUGUCGGGCUCUGUGCUGACAGCUCAGAGCCUGGAGCCUGCUUCGGAUUCUGUGUCUUCCUCUCUCUCUUUGCCCCUCCCCCACUCGUGCUCUGUUUCUCUCUCAAAAAUAAAUAAACUUAAAAACAUUUUUUUAUUAAAUUAAAAUUAAAUGAAUAAAUACAUUUUAUUUAAUUUAUAAAUACAUAAAUAAGUAAAAAUAAAUAAACAAAUAAACAAAUAAAUAAAAAUUAAAAAGACGUACAUUUCUUGGGGAACUUGGAUAGCUCAGUCGGUUAAGCCUCUGACCCUUGGUUUUGGCUCAUGUCACAAUCUCACAGUUGGUGGGUUUGAGCCCUGCUUUGGGCUCUGUGCUGUAGAGCCUUGCUUGGGAUCCUCUCUCUCCCUCUCUCUCAGCCUCUCUGUCUUGACCUCUCUCUCUCUC
Acinonyx jubatus (cheetah) is the source of this 2028-nucleotide long non-coding RNA. RefSeq lists it as uncharacterized. Lineage: Eukaryota; Metazoa; Chordata; Mammalia; Carnivora; Felidae. The transcript has 2 exons. The record is from RefSeq and is a predicted model, not a curated record.